GCCGGGAUGGUGGAACUGGUAGACGCACGGGACUCAAAAUCCCGCGGCCGCAAGGCCAUGAGAGUUCGAUUCUCUCUCCCGGCACCA
Molecule: transfer RNA, 87 nt
Filed under: Burkholderiales bacterium
Lineage: Bacteria; Pseudomonadati; Pseudomonadota; Betaproteobacteria; Burkholderiales
Also listed under: 2 other names
Description: tRNA-Leu
Rfam family: tRNA
About the family: Transfer RNA (tRNA) molecules are approximately 80 nucleotides in length. Their secondary structure includes four short double-helical elements and three loops (D, anti-codon, and T loops).
Source: RNAcentral